Molecule: long non-coding RNA, 996 nt
Organism: Capra hircus (goat)
Lineage: Eukaryota; Metazoa; Chordata; Mammalia; Artiodactyla; Bovidae
Exons: 3
Source: RefSeq, a predicted model, not a curated record
CACAUUCACGGUUUGUGCUUCUGUCCCAGCUUCUGAUCCAAAGGCCAGUGGUAGACGUGUUUAAAUAAGAGUCUCCACCCUGCUCGGAGCUGACCUGGGAUCCGAAGUUGGAGAUCUGGCUGGGAGUCUGUCCAGGCACGCUGUUUCUGAUUUACUGAGCUUUCUGAAACCUUCCACCAUCCAGAAGCAAUCUGCAGAGGGGAGGGGACUGAGGUACCUCCCUAAGCAGCCCGCCAGGCGUGAAGGACUGGGCCUCGGAGGACAUCCCUGAGGGGACAUGACCUGCAGCCCGGUGGGCCUCGGGCCCAUUUUCUGGGGAAAAGGUCCCACAAGGGACCAUUCGCCCAAGGAGUGCAAAGAUGAUUGACUCCGCCGCCAAGCAGGAAUCGAGAGAGGACGGGCCUGGAGUCUGAAGCCUGAACUUCAGUAUUCCUUCUGUUUUACGCUUUUGGGCCACGAGGCAUGUGGGAUCUUAGUUGCCAUAGAGGCAUUGAAUCUGCAUCUCCUGCGUUGGGAGACGAAGUCUUAACCACUGGACCACCAGGAAUCCACAGUGGUCUGGUGCGUGGGAAGUGCUGGUCAUUAUUAUUCCUCGGCCUGUAGUUAUCUUACUGACUCCAGCUGUUAUCUUGCCUGGUAUGAACCUUGCCUGUCCGACCGCAGAGAAGGAUCUGCGCUUGGGGUCUGCUGAGAGUGAGGGGGUAGAGGGAGUAGGGCAUCUCUUCAGCUUCUCACUCCCAGGGCAGAAGGAACUCAAGGCACCUUGGGAUGUCCCUUCACCUGCCUCGCCCUCUCCCCACCAGCAGAGCAGGGAACAUAAGGAAGUCAGACAGAAGGAUCUCUCCUGUUCUACCCACCUCAAGCCUCCCACACAGUCAGACUCAAGCCCCAAGUCGUGCACAAGCACAUUCUGGGGGCUUGGGGCAUCCCCCUGACCCUUGCUCCAGGGAAUUUACAGUUUAGAACAGGGUUCAGCACACUAGAGCCUGUUAGCCA